AUACAUGCAAGUCGAGCGGACAGAUGGGAGCUUGCUCCCUGAUGUUAGCGGCGGACGGGUGAGUAACACGUGGGUAACCUGCCUGUAAGACUGGGAUAACUCCGGGAAACCGGGGCUAAUACCGGAUGGUUGUUUGAACCGCAUGGUUCAGACAUAAAAGGUGGCUUCGGCUACCACUUACAGAUGGACCCGCGGCGCAUUAGCUAGUUGGUGAGGUAACGGCUCACCAAGGCGACGAUGCGUAGCCGACCUGAGAGGGUGAUCGGCCACACUGGGACUGAGACACGGCCCAGACUCCUACGGGAGGCAGCAGUAGGGAAUCUUCCGCAAUGGACGAAAGUCUGACGGAGCAACGCCGCGUGAGUGAUGAAGGUUUUCGGAUCGUAAAGCUCUGUUGUUAGGGAAGAACAAGUGCCGUUCAAAUAGGGCGGCACCUUGACGGUACCUAACCAGAAAGCCACGGCUAACUACGUGCCAGCAGCCGCGGUAAUACGUAGGUGGCAAGCGUUGUCCGGAAUUAUUGGGCGUAAAGGGCUCGCAGGCGGUUUCUUAAGUCUGAUGUGAAAGCCCCCGGCUCAACCGGGGAGGGUCAUUGGAAACUGGGGAACUUGAGUGCAGAAGAGGAGAGUGGAAUUCCACGUGUAGCGGUGAAAUGCGUAGAGAUGUGGAAGAACACCAGUGGCGAAAGCGACUCUCUGGUCGGUAACGGACGCUGAGGAACGAAAACCGUGGGGAGCGAACAUGGUUAACAUACCCUGGUAGUCCCCCUCCGUAAAACAAAUACUGGCUAAUGGUUAGGGGGUUUCCGCCCCCUUACUGCUCUAACUAACGCAUUAAUCCCUCCCGCCCUGGGGCAGUAGGGUCGCAGAGACUGAAAUUCAAAGGAAAUUGAACGGGGGCCCGCCCAAAACCGGUGGAGCAUGAUGUUUAAAUUCAAAAGAAAGCCGAAAAAAGCUUUACCGGGUCUUUGAAUUCCUUUUGAAAAUCCCAAAGAUAUUGGUUCUCCCCUUUCCGGGG
This 1017-nucleotide ribosomal RNA is filed under the name Bacillus licheniformis. RNAcentral describes it as "bacterial SSU rRNA". It matches the Rfam family "Bacterial small subunit ribosomal RNA", at positions 51 to 1026 of the family's 1533-position model. Lineage: Bacteria; Bacillati; Bacillota; Bacilli; Caryophanales; Bacillaceae. The record is from RNAcentral.